GGGGAGGAAGGAAGGAAGAGAGGGAGUGAGAGAAAGUGACAGGAAAGCACGAAGGAAGGGAGGAAGGAAGUCAGGAGGGCAGAAUGGAAAGAAGGAAGUAAAGGAAGAGAGUAAAGACUGUAGGGAGGGACAAAGGCAGGCAGGAAGGAAGGCAGGCAGGCAGAGAGGAAGGGAGGAAGAAAGGAAAGGAAGGGGGGGGAGGGAGGUAGGUAUGAAGAGAGGGAGUGAGAGAAAGUGACAGGAAAGUACGAAGGAAGGGAGGGAGGAAGUAAAGGAAGAGAGUAAAGACUGGAGGGAGGGAGGAAGGCAGGCAGGCAGAGAGGGAGGGAGGAAGAAAGGAAAGGAAGGGGAGGAGAAGGGGAGGGAGGUAUGAAGGAAGGAAGGAAGAGAGGGAGUGAGAGAAAGUGACAGGAAAGCACGAAGGAAGGGAGGAAGGAAGUCGAAGGAAGAAUGGAAGGAAGGAAGUAAAGGAAGAGAGUAAAGACUGGAGGGAGGGAGGGAGGCAUGGGGGGAGGGAGGAAGGCAGGAAGGAAGGCAGGCAGGCAGAGAAGGAGGGAGGGAGGAAGAAAGGAAAGGAAGGGGGGGAGAAUGGGAGGGAGGUAGGUAUGAAGGAAGUGGGGGAGGAAGGAAGGAAGAGAGGGAGUGAGAGAAAGUGACAGGAAAGCACGAAGGAGGGGAGGAAGGAAAAAAGGGAGGACGGGAGGGAGGAAGGAAGGAAGGGAGAAAGGCAGGAAGGAAGGGAGGGAGGAAGGAAGGAAGAUAGGGAGGGAGGGAGGAAGGAUUACUUUUCAGAACUGCUCUCACCCUAGUUUUAUGUUCCCCAGGUAAAUUCAUAUUUGUAAAUCUUUUCUCCUGAGCUGAAGUACAGCCCUUCCAACCAGCCAUUAUAGUGCAAUUUGUUUCCUACCAAUUGUUCUUUUUUCAUUGUUGUUGCUGUUUUUUUAAAAAAACUUAAGGGAAAAAAGCAAUCUCUCUCCCAGUUGGUUCUUUCUUUUCAAAGUGUGUGGGCCUUUUUGGUUGUUUUUUUGUUGUUGUUGUUGUAGUUCUGUUCUUUUUUGUUGUUGUUGUUGUUUUAAACUCAGCUGUUGCUUGCAGUCUUUCCAGUCAGCUUGAAUGAUUAAUGUGGUGCCACUGACUUGUUCUGUGUUUUAUUAAAAAAAAAAAAAUGCACGAUUCAUGUUUUCCAAAGAGCCAUUUAGGUAUCUCUGAUAGACCACACCAUGUAUGUUUUAAAUUCUUUGUGUGCUCAAUCAAAAUGUACGCAAAAAGGAAGCGUUUCCACAGAGAUGAAUAGAACAGUCAAGGUUAGAGACACAGGCUAAAAAAAAACAGUGCCUCUCAGUGAGCUGUGUAUUAGACUGUAAUCAUGACAAAGCCAGGUCUUAAUAUCCUACAUUCAUUUAAGGGAGGAGAUUUGUUUUUAUGCCUACUAUUUAUUUAGCUUGCCUAAAUUCAGUUUGAAUAGCAAAACAACUUUCCUGGUUUAGCUGCACUACCAAGUCAAGGUCAUUCCCCUUAGAGAAAGAUCAAGAUCCUUUAUAAGGGGAAAAAAAAAAUGACUCUCACACCAAUUGAUCUGCUGAACAUCAUUAGAGAAGGGUAAGAGAUAAUCUAAACAUGGUCCGUGCUUCAUUGACUCACAUGGGUGCUUUUUGAGUGUGAAACAGAAGGAAGUUAUGCAAUUACCUUGAGAGAAAAAACAUUCCUUUAGCAGUAUUUGGAAAUAAAAUAGGGUUGGGAAGGGGGAAGAAUCCUGAAGGGCUCUUACAGGCUGUGUGUUUGUGAGUCAAUAAAGGAGUAAAAAAAUGCAACUCUAUUGAUUUACAUUAUGUGCUACUUCCCAGGUGAGAGUUCAGCCUUUUAUAAUGUUUUUCAUCCAAUGUUUUCAUAUUUUCUAUAGAAGCUUGAUAGCACUUAAUAGCAUGUACUUAUUUAGAAAUAAUAACUGUUUGUGCUUAAAUUCAUUAUGCUAAGACAUGCCUCUUGCUCAGAGGCUCCUUGGACAAGCGUACAGAAACUACCACCAGCGAGUUUAACUUCUGCAGGAGCCAGAUCUUGUGUUAUAGAAUCCCACAAAACCAAAACCAUUGUAUUGAUUGCUGUGAAUUUAUGGGAGAGGAAAAAUAUAUCUUAGAAAUAAUAAAUAUUAUAGUAAAACCCCUUUUUCCUGUCUCAUUUGGCUCAACCACGCUCUGAGCACACUGAUGCAGCUGUAGAUGUCUCUGUUCAUUGCAGGGUGGUUGGACUACGUGACCUUUAAAAGUCCCUUCCAACUCAAACAACUCCAUGACUUUGUGACUCUAUCCUAUGAUUGCUGACUCUGGGUGCAGCUCCCCAUACCUCCUUUCCC
Molecule: long non-coding RNA, 2350 nt
Organism: Gallus gallus (chicken)
Lineage: Eukaryota; Metazoa; Chordata; Aves; Galliformes; Phasianidae
Source: Ensembl